GACGAACGCUGGCGGCGUGCCUAAUACAUGCAAGUCGAACGAGAGCGACCGGUGCUUGCACUGGUCAAUCUAGUGGCGAACGGGUGAGUAACACGUGGGUAACCUGCCCAUCAGAGGGGGAUAACAUCCGGAAACGGAUGCUAAAACCGCAUAGGUCUUCGAGCCGCAUGGCUCGAAGAGGAAAAGAGGCGCAAGCUUCUGCUGAUGGAUGGACCCGCGGUGCAUUAGCUAGUUGGUGAGGUAACGGCUCACCAAGGCCGUGAUGCAUAGCCGACCUGAGAGGGUGAUCGGCCACAUUGGGACUGAGACACGGCCCAAACUCCUACGGGAGGCAGCAGUAGGGAAUCUUCCGCAAUGGACGCAAGUCUGACGGAGCAACGCCGCGUGAGUGAAGAAGGUUUUCGGAUCGUAAAACUCUGUUGUUAGAGAAGAACAAGUGCUAGAGUAACUGUUAGCGCCUUGACGGUAGCUAACCAGAAAGCCACGGCUAACUACGUG
This 498-nucleotide ribosomal RNA is filed under the name uncultured bacterium. RNAcentral's name for it is "partial 16S ribosomal RNA". It matches the Rfam family "Bacterial small subunit ribosomal RNA", at positions 28 to 507 of the family's 1533-position model. The record is from RNAcentral.